UACGUAGGGUGCGAGCGUUAAUCGGAAUUACUGGGCGUAAAGCGUGCGCAGGCGGUUAUGUAAGACAGAUGUGAAAUGCCCGGGCUUAACCUGGGAACUGCAUUUGUGACUGCAUGGCUAGAGUGUGUCAGAGGGGGGUAGAAUUCCACGUGUAGCAGUGAAAUGCGUAGAUAUGUGGAGGAAUACCGAUGGCGAAGGCAGCCCCCUGGGAUAACACUGACGCUCAUGCACGAAAGCGUGGGGAGCAAACAGG
This 253-nucleotide ribosomal RNA is filed under the name uncultured bacterium. Its description in RNAcentral is "partial 16S ribosomal RNA". It matches the Rfam family "Bacterial small subunit ribosomal RNA", at positions 524 to 776 of the family's 1533-position model. The record is from RNAcentral.